Molecule: ribosomal RNA, 976 nt
Filed under: Lentilactobacillus farraginis
Lineage: Bacteria; Bacillati; Bacillota; Bacilli; Lactobacillales; Lactobacillaceae
Description: bacterial SSU rRNA
Rfam family: Bacterial small subunit ribosomal RNA
Source: RNAcentral
UUGGAAGAAGAACGGGUGUCAAGAGUAAUUGUUGACAUCGGGACCGGUAUCCAAACCAGAAAGCCACGGCUAAACUACGUGCCAGCAGCCGCGGUAAUACGUAGGUGGCAAGCGUUGUCCGGGAUUUAUUGGGCGUAAAGCGAGCGCAGGCGGUUUUUUAGGUCUGAUGUGAAAGCCUUCGGCUUAACCGGAGAAGUGCAUCGGAAACCGGGAGACUUGAGUGCAGAAGAGGACAGUGGAACUCCAUGUGUAGCGGUGAAAUGCGUAGAUAUAUGGAAGAACACCAGUGGCGAAGGCGGCUGUCUGGUCUGCAACUGACGCUGAGGCUCGAAAGCAUGGGUAGCGAACAGGAUUAGAUACCCUGGUAGUCCAUGCCGUAAACGAUGAGUGCUAAGUGUUGGAGGGUUUCCGCCCUUCAGUGCUGCAGCUAACGCAUUAAGCACUCCGCCUGGGGAGUACGACCGCAAGGUUGAAACUCAAAGGAAUUGACGGGGGCCCGCACAAGCGGUGGAGCAUGUGGUUUAAUUCGAUGCUACGCGAAGAACCUUACCAGGUCUUGACAUCUUCUGCUAACCUAAGAGAUUAGGCGUUCCCUUCGGGGACGGAAUGACAGGUGGUGCAUGGUUGUCGUCAGCUCGUGUCGUGAGAUGUUGGGUUAAGUCCCGCAACGAGCGCAACCCUUAUUGUCAGUUGCCAGCAUUCAGUUGGGCACUCUGGCGAGACUGCCGGUGACAAACCGGAGGAAGGUGGGGAUGACGUCAAAUCAUCAUGCCCCUUAUGACCUGGGCUACACACGUGCUACAAUGGACGGUACAACGAGUCGCGAAACCGCGAGGUCAAGCUAAUCUCUGAAAGCCGUUCUCAGUUCGGAUUGCAGGCUGCAACUCGCCUGCAUGAAGUGGAAUCGCUAGUAAUCGUGGAUCAGCAUGCCACGGUGAAUACGUUCCCGGGCCUUGUACACACCGCCCGUCACACC